This 429-nucleotide ribosomal RNA is filed under the name Gemmatimonadota bacterium. RNAcentral describes it as "Gemmatimonadetes bacterium partial 16S ribosomal RNA". It matches the Rfam family "Bacterial small subunit ribosomal RNA", at positions 355 to 776 of the family's 1533-position model. The record is from RNAcentral. Lineage: Bacteria; Pseudomonadati; Gemmatimonadota.
UAGGGAAUCUUCGGCAAUGGACGAAAGUCUGACCGAGCAACGCCGCGUGAGUGAAGAAGGUUUUCGGAUCGUAAAACUCUGUUGUUAGAGAAGAACAAGGACGUUAGUAACUGAACGUCCCCUGACGGUAUCUAACCAGAAAUCCACGGCUAACUACGUGCAAGCAGCCGCGGUAAUACGUAGGUGGCAAGCGUUGUUCGGAUUCAUUGGUCGUAAAGCGAGCGCAGGCGGUUUCUUAAGUCUGAUGUGAAAGCCUCCGGCUCAACAGGGGAGGGUGCUUGGAAACUAGGAGACUUGAGUGCAGAAGAGGAGAGUGGAAUUCGAUGUGUAGCGGUGAAUUGCGUAGAUAUAUGGAGGAACACCGGUGGCGAAGGCGACUCUCUGAUCUGUAAAUGAAACUGUGGCUCGAAAGCGUGGGGAGCAAACAGG